This 95-nucleotide ribosomal RNA is filed under the name uncultured archaeon. Its description in RNAcentral is "partial 16S ribosomal RNA". The record is from RNAcentral.
CUCCCCCGUUGCUGACCCCAGGUUCGAUAGCGCCAAUUAGGCGCACCUCGCCAAGAACCAGCUUCGGUGAAGCGACGGGCGGUGUGUGCAAGGAG